This 951-nucleotide long non-coding RNA is filed under the name Sus scrofa (pig). RNAcentral describes it as "lncRNA (ENSSSCG00070001449.1)". Lineage: Eukaryota; Metazoa; Chordata; Mammalia; Artiodactyla; Suidae. The record is from RNAcentral.
GUUUCCUUCUUCGUGCCUUCAUCCACCCAGCUGCGCCGACCUUCCCGUUCUGUGAAUCGUGACAGUCCCUCUCGCUGGAAUCUGCUAGAGGCCAGAGGAGUUCGUCUCGUCCAAUCCAAGAGUCUCAGGAGGGGAACCAAUGAGCCACCAGGAGAAGGACCAUCCUGCCUGAGAAUCGCACGACGCACUGGGGAGAAACCACAGCCUGACUCACAGUCUAUCGUAAAACAUGUCCACACUUGGGAAAAGACAGGUGAGGCAGAAAGAAAAUCCUUUGCAACCCAUCCAUGCACUCCGGCUGCCCGCUGGGGUCUGCCUUGCCACCCACCAGGCCGAGCCGCCCAGCCAGCUAGAGGACGGAUGCUCCAGGCCCCAGCACAGCCCGAGCGCCACCACCCGCCGACCCCUGCACAAAAUGACAGGUCUGACUUGCCAACCACCUACAUGACUUACAGAGAAGAUCUGUGAGAAUCAGGACGAGGCAGGGAGGAAACCUCAGUCUGAACCUCCCGUGUACAGAAUGUACAAGGCAGAUUAACAGACCAGCCCGGAACAGAGUGAGAAGGCAAAAUAAGGCUGCCUGACUCCAUCGGGGCGCUGGCGGUGAUGGCUUUGUUCGGGUACCUGUCAUUUCGACAGUGGGGGAGAUUGGGGAGCAUGAAGACUAAGGGGGGGGGCUGCUGCGCAGAGGCUGGUCUUGGACCCCCGAGAGAAUUUCUUUCAAAUUCACCCCAAUGAAGCAAGGCCCCUCUUGGAAUUUCACGCUGGUGCCGCCUGCGCAGCCAGCGCGAUGGUUUGGGGAGCCCCUCGAGGGAGACUGUACCUCUUUCCCUCGGCCCCCCAGAGCCGUGUGCCGGGAGCCGGAGCGUCGAGCUUCCUGCCCACAUCUCUCCAAAGAGAGAUAUUUACAAAUGCACUGGACUGGUCUGAGUCACUCAAAAUGGGGCGUUU